RNAcentral lists this ribosomal RNA (396 nucleotides) under Klebsiella pneumoniae. RNAcentral's name for it is "partial 23S ribosomal RNA". It matches the Rfam family "Bacterial large subunit ribosomal RNA", at positions 2547 to 2925 of the family's 2925-position model. The record is from RNAcentral. Lineage: Bacteria; Pseudomonadati; Pseudomonadota; Gammaproteobacteria; Enterobacterales; Enterobacteriaceae.
CUGGGGCUGAAGUAGGUCCCAAGGGUAUGGCUGUUCGCCAUUUAAAGUGGUACGCGAGCUGGGUUUAGAACGUCGUGAGACAGUUCGGUCCCUAUCUGCCGUGGGCGCUGGAGAAUUGAGGGGGGCUGCUCCUAGUACGAGAGGACCGGAGUGGACGCAUCACUGGUGUUCGGGUUGUCAUGCCAAUGGCACUGCCCGGUAGCUAAAUGCGGAAGAGAUAAGUGCUGAAAGCAUCUAAGCACGAAACUUGCCCCGAGAUGAGUUCUCCCUGAGACUUUAAGUCUCCUGAAGGAACGUUGAAGACGACGACGUUGAUAGGCCGGGUGUGUAAGCGCAGCGAUGCGUUGAGCUAACCGGUACUAAUGAACCGUGAGGCUUAACCUUACAACGCCGAAG